AGACCCGAAACCCGGUGAUCUAGCCAUGGGCAGGUUGAAGGUUGGGUAACACUAACUGGAGGACCGAACCGACUAAUGUUGAAAAAUUAGCGGAUGACCUGUGGCUGGGGGUGAAAGGCCAAUCAAACCGGGAGAUAGCUGGUUCUCCCCGAAAGCUAUUUAGGUAGCGCCUCGUGAAUUCAUCUCCGGGGGUAGAGCACUGUUUCGGCUAGGGGGCCAUCCCGGCUUACCAACCCGAUGCAAACUGCGAAUACCGGAGAAUGUUAUCACGGGAGACACACGGCGGGUGCUAACGUCCGUCGUGAAGAGGGAAACAACCCAGACCGCCAGCUAAGGUCCCAAAGUCAUGGUUAAGUGGGAAACGAUGUGGGAAGGCCCAGACAGCCAGGAUGUUGGCUUAGAAGCAGCCAUCAUUUAAAGAAAGCGUAAUAGCUCACUGGUCGAGUCGGCCUGCGCGGAAGAUGUAACGGGGCUAAACCAUGCACCGAAGCUGCGGCAGCGACGUUUAUGCGUUGUUGGGUAGGGGAGCGUUCUGUAAGCCUGCGAAGGUGGCCUGUGAGGGUUGCUGGAGGUAUCAGAAGUGCGAAUGCUGACAUAAGUAACGAUAAAGCGGGUGAAAAGCCCGCUCGCCGGAAGACCAAGGGUUCCUGUCCAACGUUAAUCGGGGCAGGGUGAGUCGACCCCUAAGGCGAGGCCGAAAGGCGUAGUCGAUGGGAAACGGGUUAAUAUUCCCGUACUUGGUGUUACUGCGAAGGGGGGACGGAGAAGGCUAUGUUGGCCGGGCGACGGUUGUCCCGGUUUAAGCGUGUAGGUGUGUGUUCCAGGUAAAUCCGGUUCACUUUAACACUGAGGCGUGAUGACGAGGCACUACGGUGCUGAAGCAACAAAUGCCCUGCUUCCAGGAAAAGCCUCUAAGCAUCAGGUAACAC
RNAcentral lists this ribosomal RNA (929 nucleotides) under Salmonella enterica. Its description in RNAcentral is "partial 23S ribosomal RNA". It matches the Rfam family "Bacterial large subunit ribosomal RNA", at positions 711 to 1637 of the family's 2925-position model. The record is from RNAcentral. Lineage: Bacteria; Pseudomonadati; Pseudomonadota; Gammaproteobacteria; Enterobacterales; Enterobacteriaceae. RNAcentral also lists the same sequence under 1 other name.